This 1841-nucleotide small RNA is filed under the name Arabidopsis thaliana (thale cress). Its description in RNAcentral is "ATSL223660". Lineage: Eukaryota; Viridiplantae; Streptophyta; Magnoliopsida; Brassicales; Brassicaceae. The record is from RNAcentral.
UAGAAAAAAGCCUUAAGGUUGCUUUCUAAAGAGUGAAUCUGAGGAAGAGUAAUUAGUUGUGUUGGAUGAGUUAAAUUCUUCCAAUGAAGGAUUGUCAAGGAGGUGUCAUCAAACUUCAGCAAAUCCACCAUUCCAGGUAUGUUUCGAAAAGCUAAGAGCUGCAGGGCAUGCGGGAAACCUUUAAGACGGAAUGUGAUCUGCUGGAGUUGCUUCACCAAAUUCUGAAUAGGAUCGUUUGUGAGUUGUCUUUUACCGGUGCUCUUAGCGAGAAUCCGUUUCUCGGGUGUCAUCGCUUCAACCGUCUUCAUAAACGACUCUCUACCCCAAGGAAACGAAAGGAAUUUCUCUAAAUCUGCCAACAUCUCUACAUAUUUAAAUGUAGGCCUACCGGUUUGGUUAGAUGCUAUGAGGACACCAUCUACAAUGAGUAGGAAAGCGAGCUUCAGUUUGUGGUCAGAAGACAGUUUACUGCGCUUCUUGGUUAGCAUGGCAGAUAUAUCCCCUAAUGUAACCGUCUUGUCUGGACCAAUUAACUCAUUCCAGUAGCUCUUCUUGCCAUCAUCAUAAACAGGAGAAUCUUCAGGGUCAUACUCGUCAGGAAACUCCCCACAAGGUAAGCCAGUCACGGAAGCAAAUUCUAGUAGUGAAAAUCUCAUUGGGUGUCCACCAAAAACUGUCCAAAACUCAUACUUUUUCUUAGUAAGCAACUGUCUACAUAACAAGGCAUGAAUGACCUUACCUCAAGUCGCAACCCUACUAACUGGCAAAUGGAAUAAAGGACCAAAGCAAGACUGAAGUAUAAAAUCUAAUUCCUCUGUCCCAUCAAAAACCUUCUUGAUAAAGGAUAGAAUAUCCGGUCUAGAGUAUACGUUCAGCCUUCCCCUCGGAUAAUGAUCGGUGGCGAAGAGUCUAUUUGGAAGGUUUGAAUCCCACUAAGAAGAUCGUUCCUAAGAUGUCGACCCUGUUCAUUGGCAAGAAAUCAGUUCAAGAGAUAACGACUAGAUUAACGAGUAUUUGUACAAACUACUAAAACCACAAACGUCUGUGCUUAGCUACAAACAAUUGGGAAACAUUUUUCGAUUCAAAAAAAAAAUUGCAGAAACAUUCAGCGAGAAGAGGAUUUCUUCUUCUGAGUUAAUUGGACCAAAAUAAGAUGAUUGGAAACGAUUUGUACCUUCCAUUGAGUAUUCCGAUCAGUGAGAAUCAACUGGAAUGCUAAUGAAUUUGGCUUACGAGAACAAUAAAUCGAAAUCGAAUUCGAUUAUUGCAGAGAUUUGGGGGAAAUUACUAUUUGGUUUUUAUUCAGCGAGUGUAGACUCGCCUGAGUGGCGGAUUGAUGGACAGCGACGGAGGAGUCGCCGGAUUCGGAGCAGUUGACGGAUUGGGAGCAGUGGCGAUGUGGAGAUACAGUAAAUUAGGGUUUUUACUGGGUAAGCGGUAUUUUACGAUCGUGUUGGUAAAUGAAGAUUUAACCCAGACAGUAACUGAUAAUACGUGGUUCAACCGGAACCGGAUUAGAGAAAACCGGCUAAAUUUGUUAUGUUUUAUUAAACCAACGAUUUCAGGGUAAAGGGGUAAUUAUACUGAGUUAAAGUGACUAAUGGUUUUAAAGUGUUCUAUUGUGUCCAAAGUUUUGAAAUAGUGCCUCUACGUGUAAUAUUCUCAUUAUUUUGAUAUAUAUAGUUUUCUUUUUUUCGGUCAUGUUCUUUAUUUUAUAUUUUAUUUAUAUCUAGGUAAUACCAGUAAUUCGUUAUUAUUUCAUCGGGUAUCGUUUGCUUUAUUGUAUUUAUGAAGCUUGAUGGGCUAAAUUCAAUUUUUUUAUGUUUUUGUUUUUAUUUAAG